GACGAACGCUGGCGGCGUGCUUAACACAUGCAAGUCGAACGGAAAGGCCCUGCUUUUGUGGGGUGCUCGAGUGGCGAACGGGUGAGUAACACGUGAGUAACCUGCCCUUGACUUUGGGAUAACAUCAGGAAACUGGGGCUCAUACCGGAUAGGAGCUCCUGCUGCAUGGUGGGGGUUGGAAAGUUUCGGCGGUUGGGGAUGGACUCGCGGCUUAUCAGCUUGUUGGUGGGGUAGUGGCUUACCAAGGCUUUGACGGGUAGCCGGCCUGAGAGGGUGACCGGCCACAUUGGGACUGAGAUACGGCACAGACUCGUACGGGAGGCAGCAGUGGGGAAUAUUGCACAAUGGGCGGAAGCCUGAUGCAGCAACGCCGCGUGAGGGAUGACGGCCUUCGGGUUGUAAACCGAUUUCGCCUGUGACGAAGCGUGAGUGAAGGUAAUGGGUAAAGAAGCACCGGCUAACUACGUG
This 468-nucleotide ribosomal RNA is filed under the name uncultured bacterium. RNAcentral's name for it is "partial 16S ribosomal RNA". It matches the Rfam family "Bacterial small subunit ribosomal RNA", at positions 28 to 507 of the family's 1533-position model. The record is from RNAcentral.